UACGUAGGGGGCAAGCGUUGUCCGGAAUCAUUGGGCGUAAAGCGCGCGUAGGCGGCCCGGUAAGUCCGUUGUGAAAGUCAAAGGCUCAACCUUUGAACGCCGAUGGAUACUGCCGGGCUAGAGUCCGGAAGAGGCGAGUGGAAUUCCUGGUGUAGCGGUGGAAUGCGCAGAUAUCAGGAGGAAUACCGGUGGCGAAAGCGACUCUCUGGACGGCAACUGACGCUGAGGCACGAAAGCGUGGGGAGCAAACAGG
RNAcentral lists this ribosomal RNA (253 nucleotides) under uncultured bacterium. RNAcentral's name for it is "partial 16S ribosomal RNA". It matches the Rfam family "Bacterial small subunit ribosomal RNA", at positions 524 to 776 of the family's 1533-position model. The record is from RNAcentral.